CCUACGGGAGGCAGCAGUAGGGAAUCUUCCACAAUGGACGCAAGUCUGAUGGAGCAACGCCGCGUGAGUGAAGAAGGGUUUCGGCUCGUAAAGCUCUGUUGUUAAAGAAGAACGUGGGUAAGAGUAACUGUUUACCCAGUGACGUAUUAACCAGAAAGCCACGNAUCUCG
RNAcentral lists this ribosomal RNA (170 nucleotides) under Pediococcus pentosaceus. Its description in RNAcentral is "partial 16S ribosomal RNA". It matches the Rfam family "Bacterial small subunit ribosomal RNA", at positions 338 to 502 of the family's 1533-position model. The record is from RNAcentral. Lineage: Bacteria; Bacillati; Bacillota; Bacilli; Lactobacillales; Lactobacillaceae.